Hipposideros armiger (great roundleaf bat) is the source of this 2044-nucleotide long non-coding RNA. RefSeq lists it as uncharacterized. The record is from RefSeq and is a predicted model, not a curated record. The transcript has 3 exons. Lineage: Eukaryota; Metazoa; Chordata; Mammalia; Chiroptera; Hipposideridae.
AACAGCAGCUCAACCUGGAGCUGGGCUGCGCACAGCAUUUCCAUUUGCCAAAGUCUUCAGCUAUUUCUGAAGCUGCCCAAAUGAUGCCCCAAGGAGCUGGCCAUCAUUACCUCCAGGUCCCAGGUGGUGCGUCUGGGAGGGGGAUUUUUGGACACGGACAGAUGAUCACAGAGAACACCAUGUGAAGAUGGAGGAUUGGAGUAAUGGAUCUACAAGCCAAGGGAGGUCAAAGAUUGCUGACAAAUCACCAGACGCUAGAAAGAAGCAAGGAAGCAUCCUUCUACAGGAGUCAGAGGGCGCACAACCCUGCCUUCAUCUUGAUUUCAAACCUCCAGCUUCCAGCUCUGUGAGACAACACAUUUCUAUUGUUCUGAGACACCCAGUUUAUGGCACUUUUAUACUAGCCUGGAAAAUUAACUCAUGCAAAUAUUCAAAGCAAUUAUUUAUGUAAAGCCCAUAGAGGGUCCUCAAUAAAUUCAAGUUCUCUUCUUCAAAGAAAAGGAUUUAUACACUGGAAAGCAGACAAAUACUGCUCACUUUCUCUCUUAAAACUCCACUAUGGUCUGACCACAUGGCAGAUAUGGGCCUCUGAAUCUAAUAGAGCAGCCUUAAAUUCUACAGAUCAGUGCCAGAGAUUAUCUGGUUUCCUCGGGGAUCUCUGGGUGAGAAAGGCCUGAGGACUGAGCCAAAAUUCCUAGGUCUGAACUGGAGCAGAGGAACUCCUGACUAGAACAUAAACUGCCCUUGGUUGGGAAGAGCUGGGAUGCUUUUCUCCAAAGGACACUGAGACAUACUGUCAGGCCAAACCUAACUCCUACACUCUGGGUUCCACCCACCCCAUAGCUGGAGACUCUCCAGGCUUACCCACAGACUCAGCCUUUGCCAAGGUCUUGGCCCUAUAACCUUAAAGAAGCACCUGCUUUGAGGGGCCGUUGGCUGCACUGGUUGAAUAUGGACCCUGGAUCUGGAUUGCUUGGGUUUAAUCCCAAUUCUGCUACUUGCUGUGUAUCCUUGCGCAAGUUACUCUCUAAGCCUCAGUUUCCUCCUCUAAAAAAUGGGUACAAUGAUAAUAGUACCUACCCGUUGGGCUUAUUGUAAGGAUUAGUUGACACAGCUAAAGCAUAUAGAUUGGUGUCAGCUAUGUGGUCAGUACUAUAUAAGUGUGUGCUAUUAUUGCUCCUACUGUUGUCAUUAAGAUCUGAUCCCUGCCUGCUCUCCAGUAUUGGCAGCUAGUUCCUAACCCUAGGCCUGAAGCCCUGGUCUUGAUAGCUUGCCUAGUAUUUAGUUUUUCUAGAACUAGGACCUAGACUAGACUCUUUCUACAAUCUCAACCCAUUGUCCUGGGAACGAACCCAAUGCCUGUGGCCCUGCUGUCUCCCCAAAGACAUCUCUGAUGUUACCCACCUGCCAGGAAGUUGACAUGCUUUGAAUUCUCUAAUCCUGGGCUCCUCCCUCUCAUGGUGUCAUCUGGUGAUACGCUGUUAACCCCUCCAGUGAUGGCAAAUGGUUGGGCUGUUAUUUGCCACCUGCCAGCCAGAACAGACUUGCUUCAUAGCUCAGCAGCUGGACUGCCCCCUGAAAAAUCUGCCCAGACACCCACAAGCAGGCUGGAUGCCUCCUGCUUGCUCUAACUUCCUGCGGUAAAUGGAGUCAUGUCUAAAUUGAGACUGGGUGUUUCCACACCCCACCAAAAUGGAGUAUAUUCGCUUUGACCACAAAGCUUCUAAAACAUUAAAAAUAUGUGGGGGCUACAUGGGCACUUGACAAUGUCUAUUUAGUAAUGACAACCCCAUCAUUCCCAAGGUAUUACAUUGGAUUGUACCAAAUCAUAAGAUUAAACAGAAUAGGAAGGUCAACAUUUGUAAGACUUUAUAAAAGUUUCAUUUUGCAAUAGUCAUUCUUUCUAACGGCUUCAAUUGGUGGCAUUUAGAAGAAACAAAAAAACAUCAACAACAAAAGUCGAAAGAUCAAUCUUUCUGAUCCUCAUUUCCUCAGAAUGACUCUACCUAUAAAGUAUUAAUUAGUUAAGUUCUACAAAUUGAGA